RNAcentral lists this long non-coding RNA (1005 nucleotides) under Heterocephalus glaber (naked mole-rat). RNAcentral's name for it is "lncRNA (ENSHGLG00000042064.1)". Lineage: Eukaryota; Metazoa; Chordata; Mammalia; Rodentia; Bathyergidae. The record is from RNAcentral.
ACUCUGUCCUCGCCUGCUGCCCUGCUUCUGAGAAGCUGGGCUUAGGAGGAAGAUUCGGGGCAGCAAGGUGUGCAGGGCCUGGCCACACCCAGCCUGCUCUUCCUCAGCUCCUGCCCUGGGCCGCAGUGCCCAGAGGAGCUUUAGGGAAUGGUCCAAGGGCUGAAGCCGGACUGCAGUCCCCAGACCCUGCUCAGCAUGUCUUCUCUGAGCCUGCAGCGACCGCAGUAGUAGUGAUUCCUCUAGGUGGAGGGUGCGCACCUUUCUGCACCCCGUUCCCACCCGGGAAGCUGACCCUUACCGACAACCCCAGCCGGCUCCACUGUAGGUUCCCUGAUGUCCAGCUGGGUUUGACCAGUAGGAGGCAGCAACAGGAAGUCAGAUGUCCACGGCCUACUCAUCCAUCACACUCUAUCAAAGCCAGCCUGGGCCUCUCCUGGGCUUCCCGUGGGCUUCUGCUAAUGCUCCCUCCUCUUGAUCCUCCAGGUCUAAGGGUGGCCGUGGCUAGCGGGUUCCCAGCCCAGAGGCUUCCCCAUGCUCCCUGUGGCCUCCCACGACUCUGCUCACACCCUUGUGGGCAGUCCCUUUGUGACCCCUCCCCAGGCCUGGCUUGUGGGCAGUCUCCUUCCAGGGAACCGAGAUAGGACAUGGUGUGGCGCUACGCUACAGUGGUCAGUCAGAAAGAGGGAAUGCCAGGGAAAGGAGGGAGGUCUGAUGGGGGAGCCACACAGAAGCUUCCUGGGUACUAGCAACCCUGUAUCUAGGAGGCGCAGUGUCCACAGGGUUAUGCUUUCAACGGCCUCCAUCUGCUUUGCCCGGUCUUCUGAACCUGCAGAAUAUUUCACCUCAAAGAUUUCUGGCAGGAUGUGUGAGAGGUCCUUGCGGACCUGGCCACCUCUCUCUGACCUAGGUGGUUGUUACAUAAGUUUCCACCUUACAAUAAUUUGUUAAGUUUACAUUUAUGUUUUAUGCACUUUUCUGUAUGCAUAACAUACUUAUAAUUAAAAA